GACGGAGGGUGCAAGCGUUGUUCGGAUUGACUGGGCGUAAAGGGCGUGUAGGCGGUCGGCCAAGUCUGAUGUGAAAGCCCGAGGCUCAGCCUCGGAAGUGCGUCGGAAACUAGUCGGCUGGAGCGCGAUAGAGGAGGGUGGAAUUCCUGGUGUAGCGGUGAAAUGCGUAGAGAUGUGGAGGAACACCGGUGGUGUAAACGGCUUUCUGGACCAUAACUGACGCUGAGGCACGAAAGCGUGGGUAGCAAACAGG
Molecule: ribosomal RNA, 253 nt
Filed under: uncultured bacterium
Lineage: Bacteria
Description: partial 16S ribosomal RNA
Rfam family: Bacterial small subunit ribosomal RNA
Source: RNAcentral